AUUGAACGCUGGCGGCAUGCCUUACACAUGCAAGUCGAACGGUAACGGGCCUUCGGGUGCCGACGAGUGGCGAACGGGUGAGUAAUACAUCGGAACGUGCCCGAUCGUGGGGGAUAACGAGGCGAAGGCUUUGCUAAUACCGCAUACGAUCUACGGAUGAAAGCAGGGGACCGCAAGGCCUUGCGCGGACGGAGCGGCCGAUGGCAGAUUAGGUAGUUGGUGGGAUAAAAGCUUACCAAGCCGACGAUCUGUAGCUGGUCUGAGAGGAUGAUCAGCCACACUGGGACUGAGACACGGCCCAGACUCCUACGGGAGGCAGCAGUGGGGAAUUUUGGACAAUGGGCGCAAGCCUGAUCCAGCCAUGCCGCGUGCAGGAUGAAGGCCUUCGGGUUGUAAUCUGCUUUUGUACGGAACGAAAAGCCUUCUUUUAAUACAGGAGGGUCAUGACGGUACCGUAAGAAUAAGCACCGGCUAACUACGUG
This 482-nucleotide ribosomal RNA is filed under the name uncultured bacterium. RNAcentral describes it as "partial 16S ribosomal RNA". It matches the Rfam family "Bacterial small subunit ribosomal RNA", at positions 30 to 507 of the family's 1533-position model. The record is from RNAcentral.